RNAcentral lists this ribosomal RNA (483 nucleotides) under Macronema argentilineatum. RNAcentral's name for it is "partial large subunit ribosomal RNA". Lineage: Eukaryota; Metazoa; Arthropoda; Insecta; Trichoptera; Hydropsychidae. The record is from RNAcentral.
AUCAGGGGUAAACCUGUGAAACUCGAACGAACGAACGGGGAGAUUCACCGUAUUUCCGUUUCGAUCCGCGUCGCGGCCAUCCUUCGACGCGACGGCGUUCGCGCGUCUGUCGUCGUCGGAGGCGGUCGCGUCGUCCGAAUGACGGUCGACGGAGUGCGUGCACUUCUCCCUCAGUAAAACACCGCGACCCGUUCGACUGCGAUCGAACGCGCCGUGCGGUCGUUCCGUUUCGAACGUAAAAAAUUCGGGACGGAGCCGCGGCGUCGCGUUCGCGGUCAGACGGUAGAGGACGAGGUUCGCGUUCGCCGCCUGCGCGCAAGCGUGUGGCGGCGUCCGUUUCGCGAACCGAACGGGUCUCGUGCGAACCUCGACGUAUACGCGUCGUAGGCAUAUUCGUACGUUGUACGCCCGUUCGUCGGCGUCGCGACCUCUCGGACGGAACGCGUCCCGGUCGGCGGUGGUUUUGUUUCGGGCACUCACAGG